Molecule: small nuclear RNA, 147 nt
Organism: Neogale vison (American mink)
Lineage: Eukaryota; Metazoa; Chordata; Mammalia; Carnivora; Mustelidae
Product: U4 spliceosomal RNA
Exons: 1
Source: RefSeq, a predicted model, not a curated record
AUUAUUUUUCAGUGGCAGUAUCGUAGCCAAUGAGGUUUAUCCGAGGCGCGAUUAUUGCUAAUUGAAAACUUUUCACAUAUAUUAUUUUUAAUUUUUCAGUAGUCACAUUAAAGAAGCUUAAAAAAUGGUGAGAUUAAUUUUAAAAUC